Molecule: ribosomal RNA, 226 nt
Filed under: uncultured bacterium
Lineage: Bacteria
Description: partial 16S ribosomal RNA
Rfam family: Bacterial small subunit ribosomal RNA
Source: RNAcentral
GCGUUAUCCGGAUUUAUUGGGUUUAAAGGGUGCGUAGGCGGCCUGUUAAGUCAGGGGUGAAAGACGGUAGCUCAACUAUCGCAGUGCCCUUGAUACUGAUGGGCUUGAAUGUACUAGAGGUAGGCGGAAUGUGACAAGUAGCGGUGAAAUGCAUAGAUAUGUCACAGAACACCAAUUGCGAAGGCAGCUUACUAUGGUAUGAUUGACGCUGAGGCACGAAAGCGUG